AUGGCGCGCUGCUCCCCGGCGAAGCCGCUUUGCACCACCGCCGCGGCCCCGCGCCCCUCUCGCCGCCGCGGUCUGCUCAUCAGCGCCUCUGCUUCCCCGGCCACGACAUCAACAAGAACGCACCGGCUGUUGGCCCUACCGAAGCCGCCUAAACCACCGCCGCCGCCGCCUCUCCUCCCGCGCCCAAGGCUCCCCAUCUCCAACGAAGCCCCCACCAACGGCAAGCCAGACGACCGCCGUGAACCAUCGACGGGCGCGGCGUCCUCUGGCUCUGGGUCGUCCUCGGGCGCCGGAGACGUGCUCCGCCUCAUGGGCUUGCUCCGCGUCGCGCCCGACGAGGACGUCUACGUCUCCCUCCUCAGGGGCUCCGUCGACGCCGCCGAGGUCGCCGCCGUGCACGCCCACGUCGCCGCACGCGCCGCGUCUGGCCUCCCCCUCCCGCUGGCCAACCGGCUGCUGCUCGCCUACGCGACCUGCGGUGACAUGUCCGCCGCCCGCAAGGUGUUCGACGAAAUUCCCGUGAAAGACGGCAUCACGUGGGCGACCAUGGUGUCCGCCUACUCUGAUGGGUGUUUCCACGACGAAGCGAUAAGGCUCUUCACCCGCAUGUGCCAAGAAGAACAGGGGCUUGCUGGUGAUCUGCUUGGCCAUGCCAUUGUGGCAGUGCUGCGGUCAUGUGCUCGGCUGAGCAGAUUAAGGGGCUUUGGUGAGCAGGUACAUGCGCUCGUCGUCAAGACAAAGAGAGUCUGCGGUGAUACUGGUAGUUCGCUGCUGCAGCUGUACAUCGCAAGUAAUCAGCAUGACAGUGCGCGGCAAGUGCUUCAGGCGAUGAGGUGUUGUUCCCAGGAGCCAGUGCCCGAGGCAGCCUGGACUAGCUUCAUGACAGCUUGCCACCGAGAUGGACUGCUGGAUGAGGCCAUCUACGUCUUCAGGGACAUGGUGUCCUCCGGAGUCGCCAGGAGCAGCUUCUCCCUGUCUACUAUCCUUGCGGUAUGUGCAGAAUCAGAGAACUGCAGGUGCUAUGGGCAGCAAGUGCAUGGUGAUGCCAUCAAGCACGGCGUGGAAACAGACCAGUUCGUUGUGUCUGGGUUGGUCCACAUGUAUGCGAAGCAAGGAAGGCUUGCAGAUGCCGCGAGGGCAUUUGAGGCAGUGGGUGGCAAGCCUGACGCGGUGUGCUGGAAUGCCAUGGCCAUGGGGUAUGCACGCGGUGGGUGGUACAGAGAGGCCACCAGAAUGAUGUACCAGAUGAAAGCUGCUGGACUGGAUCUUCCUGGACUAAAUGUGGUUGGAAUGGCCUGCUCCAGUUGA
This 1308-nucleotide ribosomal RNA is filed under the name Triticum aestivum (bread wheat). RNAcentral describes it as "partial small subunit ribosomal RNA". The record is from RNAcentral. Lineage: Eukaryota; Viridiplantae; Streptophyta; Magnoliopsida; Poales; Poaceae.